RNAcentral lists this ribosomal RNA (250 nucleotides) under uncultured Staphylococcus sp. RNAcentral describes it as "partial 16S ribosomal RNA". It matches the Rfam family "Bacterial small subunit ribosomal RNA", at positions 90 to 334 of the family's 1533-position model. Lineage: Bacteria; Bacillati; Bacillota; Bacilli; Caryophanales; Staphylococcaceae. The record is from RNAcentral.
CGUUAGCGGCGGACGGGUGAGUAACACGUGGGUAACCUACCUAUAAGACUGGGAUAACUUCGGGAAACCGGAGCUAAUACCGGAUAACAUUUGGAACCGCAUGGUUCUAAAGUGAAAGAUGGUUUUGCUAUCACUUAUAGAUGGACCCGCGCCGUAUUAGCUAGUUGGUAAGGUAACGGCUUACCAAGGCAACGAUGCAUAGCCGACCUGAGAGGGUGAUCGGCCACACUGGAACUGAGACACGGUCCAG